RNAcentral lists this ribosomal RNA (497 nucleotides) under uncultured bacterium. Its description in RNAcentral is "partial 16S ribosomal RNA". It matches the Rfam family "Bacterial small subunit ribosomal RNA", at positions 28 to 507 of the family's 1533-position model. The record is from RNAcentral.
GAUGAACGCUGGCGGCGUGCCUAAUACAUGCAAGUCGAGCGAACAGACGAGGAGCUUGCUCCUCUGACGUUAGCGGCGGACGGGUGAGUAACACGUGGAUAACCUACCUAUAAGACUGGGAUAACUUCGGGAAACCGGAGCUAAUACCGGAUAAUAUAUUGAACCGCAUGGUUCAAUAGUGAAAGACGGCUUUGCUGUCACUUAUAGAUGGAUCCGCGCCGUAUUAGCUAGUUGGUAAGGUAACGGCUUACCAAGGCAACGAUGCGUAGCCGACCUGAGAGGGUGAUCGGCCACACUGGAACUGAGACACGGUCCAGACUCCUACGGGAGGCAGCAGUAGGGAAUCUUCCGCAAUGGGCGAAAGCUUGACGGAGCAACGCCGCGUGAGUGAUGAAGGUCUUCGGAUCGUAAAACUCUGUUAUUAGGGAAGAACAAAUGUGUAAGUAACUAUGCACGUCUUGACGGUACCUAAUCAGAAAGCCACGGCUAACUACGUG